UGAGUAACGCGUGGGAAUCUACCUUUUGCUACGGAAUAACUCAGGGAAACUUGUGCUAAUACCGUAUGUGCCCUUCGGGGGAAAGAUUUAUCGGCAAAGGAUGAGCCCGCGUUGGAUUAGCUAGUUGGUGGGGUAAAGGCCCACCAAGGCGACGAUCCAUAGCUGGUCUGAGAGGAUGAUCAGCCACACUGGGACUGAGACACGGCCCAGACUCCUACGGGAGGCAGCAGUGGGGAAUAUUGGACAAUGGGCGCAAGCCUGAUCCAGCCAUGCCGCGUGAGUGAUGAAGGC
This 291-nucleotide ribosomal RNA is filed under the name Ochrobactrum sp. MBR2.46. RNAcentral describes it as "partial 16S ribosomal RNA". It matches the Rfam family "Bacterial small subunit ribosomal RNA", at positions 107 to 415 of the family's 1533-position model. Lineage: Bacteria; Pseudomonadati; Pseudomonadota; Alphaproteobacteria; Hyphomicrobiales; Brucellaceae. The record is from RNAcentral.